This 3916-nucleotide long non-coding RNA is filed under the name Homo sapiens (human). RNAcentral's name for it is "HSALNT0404033". Lineage: Eukaryota; Metazoa; Chordata; Mammalia; Primates; Hominidae. The record is from RNAcentral.
ACCACUGAGUGUAAACAUUAAUUAUUCCCCACUUGUGUGAAUCUGGGUUGACUAACGCUUUCCCAUUAGCUUAAGGUAUUGUAAAGUCUGGCCUUACCUAGUUUAAAAUCUCUAUUCUCUCUCCCUCCCUUUUCCCCCUCUCUUUCCCCUAUCUCCUUUCCCCACUUCUCUCUCCUUCCUCUCUCGAGGUUGAGUCUUGUUCAGGCCCAGAAACCUGUAGUGGAGAAACGGAGUGAGUUGAUUUCCUGUUUCUGUCCUUUGAUUCUCUUCUCCCUUCCCGCCCCCAGGCCCUUGUAGACUCUGGCUCUUCAAGAUUGAGGGGAGAAAGGAAGCAGAGAUAAUGGUCAGUGUUUAGAGACCAGCAUUGUUAGCGGGCACUCUGGGUGUAGCUGCUGUCCAUGUGCUGGGUCUUUGUUUUGUGGGUAAUAUGGGCUGUUGGGAACCUGACUGACAGAAAUCUCCCAUCUGCAGCCUCUUUGCUUUUGCUUUAGGUCAGGAGUUGGCAAACUACAUACAGCUCAUGGGCCAAAUCCAGCCCAGCACCUGUUUUUGUGUGGCCUGAAGGCUAAGAGUGAUUUAUACAUUUGUAAAUGGUUGAGAAAAAAAGAAGAAUGUUUAGUGACAUAAAAAUUAUGCGAAAUACAAAUUUCAGUUUCCAUAAAAUUUUAUUGGAAUAUAGCCAGAAACAUUAUUUGCUUAUAGUUUUCAAAUGCAUGCGUUAAGAGAUAAAAAUUAAUGAGCUUAUGUAUUUGUCAAAAGUCCUACAUUUUAAGGCACAAAGGGUGAACCCUUAGUGUAUACACUUUUUUAUUUUAUUUUAUUUUUUUGAGGUAGAGUUUCACUCAGUCUCCAGGCUGGAGUGCAGUGGCACGAUCUCGGCUCACUGCAGCCUCCACCUCCCGGAUUCAAGCACUUCUUCUGCCUCAGCCUCCCGAGUAGCUGGGUUUACACGCGUGGGCCACCACACCCGGCUAAUUUUGGUAUUUUUAGUAUAUAUAGAGUUUCACCAUGUUGGCCAGGCUGGUCUCAAAUUCCCAACCUCAGGUGAUCCUCCUGCCUUGGCCUCCUAAAGCACUGCGAUUACAGGCCUGAGCCACUGUGCCCGGCCCAAUGUAUACACAUUUUAAACAGUCAUUUAGGAGGUCGGAGAUCCCAGGAUGAAAUGCAGAGUGACAAAAAGUUUUUAAAUUUUUUGCUUUUUACCCCUGUAAUUCUAGUGAAAUGAAAUGCAUAUACUUUGGUUUUUGUUGUUGAUUUUUUUUUUCAGAAAUGCUGCUGUGGAUUUAGCUGAUGCACACUCUUCACCACCUCCCAUACUUCAAUGCUUUUUUCACUUUUUUUGGUUGAAUUACUAUAUGGUUUGUUAUUACUCUUACAAAUGAGCUAGCCAGGGUAGUAUGAUUGCAUUUUCUUUCCUAUACAAACCUUUUGUUUUCCCUGAAGUUAAUUGAUUUAUAUUUUGUUUUCUUAGUUUUUCUCUGUACUGAUCAUCCAGACAUCCAGAGAACUGGGAGCUCUUUUCCAGAUGGAUUCAGACACACCCAGUGUUUUGUCAUUUGGAAGUCAGUUGGGAGUCAUCGGCUCAGUCGUAAUUUGGGGACUUCCCUUUAACAUCUGUCUGGAAAUUUCCUUCCUCUUUUCAUGUGUCUCCAUCUCACAUAUCCUUCUGUCUGAUAUGUAGCUUAGUGACUGCCAUUCUGAAGCCUACUCUCUCGGGUUCAAAUCCUGACUCAUAACCAGAUGUAUGUCCUUGGCCAAGUCAUUUAACCUCUUUGUGCCAGAGUUUCCAAUCUGAAUGUUGGCAAUAAUAAUCUUACACACCUCAAAGUGUUGUUUUAAAAAUUACAUGAGCAGAUAGAUAAAUAAAAGGGCUGUGCGUGCCGUAGGUGCACAAUAAUGUUUGCUGUUUUUGUUAUUGUUAGUGGUGGAGAAUAUCCACCACUAACAAUAACACCACUUCCAGAAACAGGUGUAGCUUCCUGAAAAAAGGGUUCAUGGGAAGAAAAAAAUUUCAUCAUUUCUUGAAAAUACAUUCAUGCUACCCUUGCUCUUUCUUUAAUUAUAAUUUGGCUGGAUUUGCAUUCUGGAUUGGAAAUUCUUUCCGAAUUUUAAAGACGUGCUUGAUUGUUUAAUAGAGCCUCUGCAUUUUAUUGGGCACUUAGCCUGGAAGCUCAAGUCCUUAACAUCUGGAAAAUGUUCUUACUUAUUUUGACAAUUUUCUUCGCACCAUUUUUCUCUUUUUUUAUUUACUGUCUUAUUGUUUUUCCUCUUGGGGGAUUUCCUCUACUUAUCUCCUACCUUGCUCUUACCAUAGUGUUUUUUUUUUUUAGAGACGGAGUUUCGCUCUUGUUGCCCAGACUGGAGUGCAAGGGCGUGAUCUCGGCUCACCGCAACCCCUGCCUCCCGGGUUCAAGCGAUUCUCCCGCCUCAGCCUCCCGAGUAGCUGGGAUUGCAGGCAUGCGCCACCACGUCUGGCUGAUUUUGUAUUUUUAGUAGAGAUGGGGUUUCUCCAUGUUGGUCAGGCUGGUCUUGAACUUCCGACCUCAGGUAAUCUGCCCGCCCUGGCCUCCCAAAGUGCUGGGAUGACAGGCAUGAGGCACCGAGCCCGGCCACCAUAGUUUUAAUUGUUACAAGCAAUGUCUUAGCUUUUGAAUGUCUUUUUGAAUUCUCCCUGGACAAAAUGUUCAUUCUUAUUGCUAGAUACAUUAACUGUAGUUUUUUUUUUUUUUGAGAUGGAGUCUUCUCGCUCUGUCGUCCAGGCUGGAGUGCAGUGGCGCGAUCUCGGCUCACUGCAAGCUCCGCCUCCCAGGUUCACGCCAUUCUCCUGCCUCAGCCUCCCGAGUAGCUGGGACUACAAGCACCUGCCACGUUGCCUGGUUAAUUUUUUGUAUUUUUAGUAGAGACGGGGUUUCACCGUGUUAGCCAGGAUGGUCUUGAUCUCCUGACCUCGUGAUCUGCCUGCCUCGGCCUCCCAAAGUGCUGGGAUUACAGGCGUGAGCCACCAUGCCUGGCCUAACCGUAGUAUUUUUGAAGUUUUGUUUUGCUCACUGCAUUAUCUCUAUUUUCUUCAUGUUUCUUUUACUGUGUAUUGUUUUUGGUUUCUAAUUUUAAACACUCUCAAAUGUCUGGAAACAGCCUUCUCAUUUUUUUUUUUUUUUUUGAGCCGGGAGUUUCACUCUUGUUGCCCAGGCUGGAGUGCAGUGGCAUGAUCUCAGCUCACUGCAAUCUCCACUUCCCAGGUUCAAGCAGUUCUCCUGCCUCAGCCUCCCAAGUAGCUGGGAUUACAGGCAUGCGCCACCAUGCCUGGCUAAUUUUUUGUGUUUUUAAUAGAGAUGGUGUUUUACCAUGUUGGCCUGGCUGAUCUUGAACUCCUGACCUCAACUGAUCCACCCGCCUCGGCCUCCCAAAGUGCUGGGAUUACAGGCGUGAGCCACCGCGCCUGGCAGCCUUCUCACAUUUUUAAGUGAGACACUUAAAGCUGACUGCAAAAUUUUCAUACAUGAAUAGAGCUAGUCCUUUGGUGGGCUUCACUGUUGGGUGAUCACAUAGGAAGGAGUCAUUUUGUUGGGGGUGCUCUAUGUUGGUAUUUGUAGACCAUAAAAAAUGGGAACUGUUGGACCAUAAGUAUAUUUUUAAAAACUGAAAAUUUUAAAAAGUAAUUUUAAAAAACGAGAACAACAAAAACAAGAUGCUAUCCAGAAAAGCCAGGCGGAAUUGCUAAGAACCAAAUAGAACUUUGAGAAAUCAGCUUCCCAAGGAGGAAUUCUACGUCUGGUCUCCUGCCAUGGCAUAAUUCUGGCUGCUAGCUCUUGGAAAUUGGCAUGAAAGGAAGAAAGGCGUAUCACAUUGUUCAGUUUGCUGACUUGCUGUUUGUUUGAUUAUUUGUUUAUUAUUGUAAUAAAACACAUGUAGCAAA